This is a long non-coding RNA of Cryptotermes secundus, 1442 nucleotides long. RefSeq lists it as uncharacterized. The record is from RefSeq and is a predicted model, not a curated record. Lineage: Eukaryota; Metazoa; Arthropoda; Insecta; Blattodea; Kalotermitidae. The transcript has 3 exons.
UAACUCAGUCAGUGUAACGACUGAGUCAGGGGCUGGGUGACCGAGGAAUCGGGAUUCGAUUCCUGGCAGAAGCAAGAGAUUUUUCUCUUCUCCAUAACAUCCAGACAUGUUCUGAAGCCCACCCAGCCUCCUAUAUAGUGGGUACCGAGAAGUAAUAAGGCAGGACGUGAAGCUGACCACACCUCCAUCUAGUGCCAAAGAAAAGACUGGUGAAGUUAUACGCCCACCUCCACAUGUCUUCAUGCCGUGUUAAUUAUCACCUAUGCAUCAUGCUGUAAAGGAACAUAAGGGACAUGAAGGCAGAGCUCCAUCCACUCUACACUUCAACAUUACUGGAAAAAGUAUGCUCCAAAAUGCUUGGAUAGGAAACUUGAGCCAGGUUAUGAGUAUCCAAGAAUCCAGGAUUCUCACACAACCAGCAUAUGUUCAUCCGCCACACAGCAGCGCUCCCAGCUGCCACUAACACUGCUACCCAUCAUCCUACCUCAUGCAGGUGCCACUACAGUUAAGAGUGAUCCAUAAUCACUGUAGAGGCUAGUAGAAUUUGUAAUGGCAUUACAGCAUAUACAAGAUCUUUCACCCACCAAUCCACUGCCACCUAUGGGGACUCACACGCAGAAUUAAGGCAAAACUUUGUUGUUUUAUGUUUGAAAUAGAAAAUGGAAAUAUGUAAAAGACUAGCAAAAGAUGAAAAUCACAUAAAAGGUUUGCUUUUAAGUUUCUCAUGCCACCAGCAAAUUCAUACACCUGGAACAUCCCAUUCCCAAAAUGUGCUGAAAACUAGGAAUGCACUGUAUAUAGAAACAGUAUAACAGUUUCAAGCCAGGGAAACAAAAAUUCAUGUUAAUGAAAUGUUAUGCAUGGAACUUGACUUCUUAUACUUCCAAGCAUAAUACACAAAAGUUUAAUUCCUUUCUCCUCUUCUUGUUAAAUCUGUUCCCCCCUUCUGUUUCCCAUGAACACUGCUUCAUUCCAUCCAAGACGCUAUAAAAUAGUCAUGCUACUUUUGAAAAACUGAAUUAUCAUUUUUAAUUAUAUUGGUAAGGCACAGAAAACGCAGCACAAAACUAGACUUUGUAUGUGCCUGCACAUAUAUACACACAUAAGUCAAGGCCAACUGAAUUUUAUUUAUUCAAACAGAGUGUAUUACUGGUUUUUUUUAAAGACAGAAUCAAGAUCUGAAACUCUGUAUAAUAGUGCAUGUAAAGGGCCAUUAGUUAGUGCACAGAAAAAUCAGGCUCCACAGAAAAGUGACAUGGGUUAAUGACCUUUUCAGAAAAUUGUUCUAAGCAAUAUGUCCUCUAAGAGGUAAGUUGGAGAGAAAUAUGGCAAAGACCAAAAAAUUCAUAUCAUGGUUUCUGGGUUGACACCGUGUAGUCUGGUAGGUAGUUGCUGGCAUUUUAGAAAAAUAUAUAGUACUGCCCUCACCUUCAAAGCAGAAG